AUGGAUUUUUUGUUUCUCUACUGGCUUCAUAUAAUUCUGAAAACACAAGUUUUCUUCAAGCCUCUUGCUCAUAUCUCUCAUCAAAGGGUGCUAUUCUAUAAUGCGUUUGUUUUGGGUACAAAAUGUCACAGGUUCAAAUCCUGUCAUCCCUACCUAUUACUUCUUUCUUCUUUAUAG
RNAcentral lists this ribosomal RNA (177 nucleotides) under Triticum aestivum (bread wheat). Its description in RNAcentral is "partial small subunit ribosomal RNA". Lineage: Eukaryota; Viridiplantae; Streptophyta; Magnoliopsida; Poales; Poaceae. The record is from RNAcentral.